GUCUGACAGUGCUAGGGAGGAGGCUGGUGGAAUCACCGCCCCACCCCCCUCGUCCAUGGACCGCUGCUCAAAGACGCUGUCCCUGCCUCAACAAUGAGAACGCCCUUGCCCACCUUGCAGAACAGGUUACUUCCUUCUGCUCAUCACAACUUUACUGUUUUUCCAUCCACCUCAAUCAAAAGAUGAGCAACAUAUGACAGAGAAGAAGUAUUUUUCAACUUGUUCAUAGCUAUGGCAUGAUCCUUGCUUAGUAAGGGCUGCCUUUUAUUGUCCAUUUCCAUACAGAAGAAAUUCAAUGUAAGAACCCUGCAACCCUAUUAUGAAGAUUUGAUUUCUACUAAGUCAGAGUGUCGGGGUCAUCCAUUGGCAGAGGGGCUGUCUUCAUGGCUUGGAGCAUUUCUUCAUUCUUGUCCUUCAUUUGUCUCAGUUCAAGCUCCCAUGCUUUACAUACGGCAACACUUCUGUCCUCAAAUUCGGAUGAUUCGUUUAUGAUAGCCUGUCCAACCCAAUUCAACAAAUGCUUAUUAAGUGCAUUGUGUUAAGUGCAUAUUAUUAAAAUUUCCAGACACUUUUCUUGAAAUGAGGAUGAUAUAAAAAUGACGCCCCCCCCCCCCCAAAAGCGACAGAAUUUCUGCCCUACAAAGGUUAUCAUGGCGGUCAUAUGUAUGUAACAAUUGCAAUAUGAUUACCCCCCCCCCCCACAACUGCAGUAAAACAAAAUAAAAGAAAUUAAAUUGAUGGACCAGAUCAGCAGAGUAGUGUGGGAGAUUAGAGUGACCUAGUUUCGUGGGUGAAAGAAACUGGGAUAUCAUUAAGAAGACAAAAAAAAUCACACUCACCUUUAUUUUAUUAUGAUACGAGUUAUUCACAUGAACAAUCCUAUCAUUCUCCUCCUGUAUUAUUUUUUUAAGACUAUCCACAUCAAGAUGUGUGCUUAAACACAUUUCCAGGAACAAGAUAAUUUCUUUCUUAGCAUUUAACAGUUGUUGUAAUUCAGCCACCAUGUUGUGGAUAUCAUUUUGAGUCUCUGAAACAUCCUCGAGAAUUUGCUGUGUGAAGAAGAGUAUUAAUUUCCUGAGUUCUGAGAAGACUUUAUGUAAACAUGCCAUCAAAUUUCAUCACUGCUUUAAACGAUAAAAAUGGAGGCAAACACCAAACUCAAAUCCCUCAGACACCUUCAUAUUUUAAGGUAAAUUAAGAACAUAAUUCUAAUUGGGAGAACUCAGUUUAUUAACUUAUAGUACAUAGCUCUGGCAGGGAACACAAGCUGUAUUAAAGCUGCUUCUCCCCAUACUCUAGGUGUCUGAUUUAAAAUCUGCCAGAAAUGUGCUAUUAUAUUCUAACAAACCAGUGAAGUGAUGAGGCUGACUGGGCAAUGAAGCUGAAAUGAGAAGUUCAGGUCUAAAUCCUGAUUCCUACUCAACUGAGAGUGACUUAUUUGUAAACUGAAGGGGGUGGUCUAGAGGAUCUCCAGGGUCCUUUCUAACGCUAAAUGCCAGCCCAUAUUUAAUCCACAAGAUGAUAAACCUGAUGUUUUCUUAUCCACAGUACCACUAAGUGGCUGCUCCAACCUGGAAAAUGCGCAUUUUUGUGUGGAGAUGCAGUAGAUGGAUUCAAGGGGAAGGGGUUAUACAGUUAAGGCUCCUUAAGGAAAUGGAAACAUAAAAAGAGUUUAUUCCAUUGUAUUCAUUUAUAUUUUAUCCUUUGGCUAACUCUUAUGAAGAUGCCGGUGCAACAGAAAUAAAUCUAGAUUUGAAAUCAGUGGGUCUGUUACUACUUGUAUCACCUUGGGCAUUUAACCUCUGAAGGCCUCAAGUAUAAGGUCAGAGGGAUAGAUGAGGUGUUUUCUAAGGUCCCUUCCAUGAUCUUAUGAUUACUAUUUGUGACAUUUUACAUAUCUUAAAAUCUUUAACAUUUUAAAGUAGAAAUAGAAUGGAAAGGAAAUAAAAUAGGAAAUAAAUAGAAUGAAUAUGGAAAAUUUUUACUGUAACUCAAACUAGAUUAUGACUAUCAUUAUUCUUCUGGGCUUAGCUUUUUGUCUGAUCUAUAUAUAGGUUGGGAUCGCUAGUAGGGAUUUGUUAAGAAGUAGGGUGAUAGCCUUUGCUCAUUGCUAGGACAGGUAGGAGGGUAGGGUCAUAGAGAUACAAAGCUCCCCAGCUUUGUAGCUAUGGACAAAGUAAGAGUUGGAAAAUAGUCUUAAGUUUUUUAGUAUGAAUGUCCUCAUGAAAGAGUUGUUUGGUCACUGUGCACUUAGGGAACUCUGAAAUGAGGCUUAACAGGAUAUAGUUCUAAAAAUCUUUUGUUUCUUAUUGGCUUUGUCCAUAUUAAUAAGUGCACUCCUUUUUUUCAUAAACACACAAAGCAUUAAAAAAACCCACCAAACAAACCCCUUUUUAAUGAUUCAUACCUCAAUAUGUA
Long non-coding RNA from Dromiciops gliroides (monito del monte), 2418 nucleotides. RefSeq lists it as uncharacterized. Lineage: Eukaryota; Metazoa; Chordata; Mammalia; Microbiotheria; Microbiotheriidae. The record is from RefSeq and is a predicted model, not a curated record. The transcript has 4 exons.